This 678-nucleotide ribosomal RNA is filed under the name Triticum aestivum (bread wheat). RNAcentral's name for it is "partial small subunit ribosomal RNA". Lineage: Eukaryota; Viridiplantae; Streptophyta; Magnoliopsida; Poales; Poaceae. The record is from RNAcentral.
AUGUGGGAAAUAUGGUGGGCUCGACGACGUGCUAUACACGAUGAGCAAUUUCAAAGUCCCAUGAGCACGUCCUGUUUCAUUGCAAAAUUUCCGGAGGACUGGAAAUUUGUGCCUUCUCGUGCCUCGGCUAAAGCCAACGAUUUGCAUGCAAUAACCAGGGGCGUGCAUACAUCGGACAAGGGCCUGCAUGAGCAACACUCGAGGCGCAACAGCAGCAGUAUGCUGAGACAAGCAUGGACAGUAUCUGGGGCCUCUGCGGUCGUCUACGACGACCUUGUAGACCCGGCGACGCUAGAAGCUCAAGCAUGCAAUGAAGCCUUGGCUCUUGUCACUGACUUACAUAUUGACUCCAUCUGCAUUACUUCGGAUUGUGCAGAGGUUGUCGCGAACAUUGAAACCAGGACUCCGUGCCGCUAUGCUACUAUCCUCCGAGAGAUAAAUCAUGGCCAGACUUCGUUUCGAGCACUCAAGAUCGUUCAUGAGAAAAGGGAACAUAAUGGAGAAGCUCAUUCCCUCGCAAAGGCGGCUUCUUCUAUACCCUUUGGGCGCCAUGCCUCCCUUGUUCUUGCUCGUAACUGGAGCAUCUCCUUCGUUCUUUCAAAAAAUGAACGGCCGGCGUGCAGCGAAGAGACGCUAGGCAUCCUGUGCUUUGCCCAAAAGCCAAAUGGCACGCACUAG